ACGCUCGACACCUACGGGGCAGCAGUGGGGAAUAUUGCACAAUGGGGGAAACCCUGAUGCAGCGACGCCGCGUGAGCGAAGAAGUAUCUCGGUAUGUAAAGCUCUAUCAGCAGGGAAGAAGAUGACGGUACCUGACUAAGAAGCACCGGCUAAAUACGUACCAGCAGCCGCGGUAAUCUGAGCGGGCUGGCAAGGC
RNAcentral lists this ribosomal RNA (196 nucleotides) under uncultured bacterium. RNAcentral's name for it is "partial 16S ribosomal RNA". It matches the Rfam family "Bacterial small subunit ribosomal RNA", at positions 326 to 539 of the family's 1533-position model. The record is from RNAcentral.